Molecule: long non-coding RNA, 543 nt
Organism: Calidris pugnax (ruff)
Lineage: Eukaryota; Metazoa; Chordata; Aves; Charadriiformes; Scolopacidae
Exons: 5
Source: RefSeq, a predicted model, not a curated record
UGCCCCAUUUAAGGGGCAAACCUCGCAGCCAACUGGCAGACAGGAAGAAGGGGCGGGAGCCAGUGAGAGUUGCGAAGGGGGCAAUGUUAACCGAUGACAGUCAGCAAGUGGAGCCAAUCAGUGGCGGCGUAGUUACUCGACGGCCCAAUUAGAAGCGUUGAGAGGGGUGAGAAGCGGGGGGGGUGGCCGCGUAUCUUCGCAGCUCCUUCGCAUUUGUUUCCCGGGUUCGUGUUUCCCGGGCGGAGCCGCCCCCCCGGCACUGAGAAGAAGGGGGCUCAGCGCACCGCGGCGGCGCCUCAGCGGGUUUCGUUUUUGCACUGAAUGUAGCCAGGACGGAUCCUUGUGGGCUUUGGCAGCCCUUGGAAACUGUCAAAGGCAGUAUUUUGCAUUUCUGCAGAGCUUUGCACAGAUCCUGUUCCCAUGCAAACUGAUGAGGGAGAAAUACUGGAGGAAGGCAGUCCCAAGGUCAGUGAGAUGGAACAUGAGGAUUUUGUAAUGGAGGGGCAUGGCAAGACUCCACCUCCUGGUGAAGAAAACAAACAG